This 1264-nucleotide ribosomal RNA is filed under the name Diplopeltidae sp. 1 TJP-2019. RNAcentral's name for it is "SSU rRNA". It matches the Rfam family "Eukaryotic small subunit ribosomal RNA", at positions 114 to 1382 of the family's 1831-position model. The record is from RNAcentral. Lineage: Eukaryota; Metazoa; Nematoda; Chromadorea; Araeolaimida; Diplopeltidae.
UGUUUAUUUGAUCUUGAAAUCCUACUUGGAUAACUGUGGUAAUUCUAGAGCUAAUACAAGCAGAAAAGCUCCAACCUUACGGAAGGAGUGCAUUUAUUAGUACAAAACCAAUCGGGUGCAAACCCGUUGUUUGGUGAAUCUGAAUAACUUAGCCGAUCGCACGGUCCUCGAACCGGCGACAUAUCAUUCAAGUGUCUGCCCUAUCAACUUUCGAUGGUAGUUUAUAUGACUACCAUGGUUGUAACGGGUAACGGAGAAUAAGGGUUCGUCUCCGGAGAAGCAGCCUGAGAAACGGCUACUACAUCUAAGGAAGGCAGCAGGCGCGCAAAUUACCCACUCUCGGCACGAGGAGGUAGUGACGAAAAAUAACGAGGCGGUGUCGCUUUGCGGCCCGCUAUCGGAAUGAGAACAAUUCAAAACCUUUAACGAGGAUCUAGCAGUGGGCAAGUCUGGUGCCAGCAGCCGCGGUAAUUCCAGCACUGCUAGUGUAUACCACGAGUACUGCGGUUAAAAAGCUCGUAGUUGGAUCUGCGGCAUUGAUCUUCAGUCCUCCUUAUGGGUGCGAACUGACAAAUCAUGCCUAGUUUGUUGGUUUUCCAUUAAUGCUCUUAAUUGAGUGUUAGUGGUGGCUGGCGAUUUUACUUUGAAAAAAUUGGAGUGCUCAGAACAGGCGCUUGCCUGAACAUUUGUGCAUGGAAUAAUGGAAUAGGAUCUCGGUUCUAUUUUGUUGGUUUUAAGGAUUGAGAUAAUGAUUAAGAGGGACAGACGGGGGCAUUCAUAUUGCGACGUUAGAGGUGAAAUUCUUGGAUCGUCGCAAGAUGGACAACUGCGAAAGCAUUUGCCAAGAAUGUUUUCAUUAAUCAAGAACGAAAGUUAGAGGUUCGAAGGCGAUCAGAUACCGCCCUAGUUCUAACUGUAAACGAUGCCAACUAGCGAUCCGUCGGCGUUAGUUUCGACCCGUCGGGCAGCUUCCCGGAAACGAAAGUCUUCCGGUUCCGUGGGAAGUAUGGUUGCAAAGCUGAAACUUAAAGGAAUUGACGGAAGGGCACCACCAGGAGUGGAGCCUGCGGCUUAAUUUGACUCAACACGGGAAAACUCACCAGGUCAGAACACCGUAAGGAUUGACAGAUUGAUAGCUCUUUCUUGAUUCGGUGGGUGGUGGUGCAUGGCCGUUCUUAGUUGGUGGAGUGAUUUGUCUGGUUUAUUCCGAUAACGAACGAGACUCUAGCCUGCUAAAUAGCGAAUGGAUAUUUGAGUCCAUAGC